UACGUAGGGUGCAAGCGUUAAUCGGAAUUACUGGGCGUAAAGCGUGCGCAGGCGGUGAUGUAAGACAGUUGUGAAAUCCCCGGGCUCAACCUGGGAACUGCAUCUGUGACUGCAUCGCUGGAGUGCGGCAGAGGGGGAUGGAAUUCCGCGUGUAGCAGUGAAAUGCGUAGAUAUCGGAAGGAACAUCAGUGGCGAAAGCGACUUCCUGGACCAGUACCGACGUUCAGGCACGAAAGCGUGGGGAGCAAACAGG
RNAcentral lists this ribosomal RNA (253 nucleotides) under uncultured bacterium. RNAcentral describes it as "partial 16S ribosomal RNA". It matches the Rfam family "Bacterial small subunit ribosomal RNA", at positions 524 to 776 of the family's 1533-position model. The record is from RNAcentral.